Molecule: ribosomal RNA, 1489 nt
Filed under: Salmonella enterica
Lineage: Bacteria; Pseudomonadati; Pseudomonadota; Gammaproteobacteria; Enterobacterales; Enterobacteriaceae
Also listed under: 1 other name
Description: partial 23S ribosomal RNA
Rfam family: Bacterial large subunit ribosomal RNA
Source: RNAcentral
CCGCUCGCCGGAAGACCAAGGGUUCCUGUCCAACGUUAAUCGGGGCAGGGUGAGUCGACCCCUAAGGCGAGGCCGAAAGGCGUAGUCGAUGGGAAACGGGUUAAUAUUCCCGUACUUGGUGUUACUGCGAAGGGGGGACGGAGAAGGCUAUGUUGGCCGGGCGACGGUUGUCCCGGUUUAAGCGUGUAGGUGUGUGUUCCAGGUAAAUCCGGUUCACUUUAACACUGAGGCGUGACGACGAGGCACUACGGUGCUGAAGCAACAAAUGCCCUGCUUCCAGGAAAAGCCUCUAAGCAUCAGGUAACAUCAAAUCGUACCCCAAACCGACACAGGUGGUCAGGUAGAGAAUACCAAGGCGCUUGAGAGAACUCGGGUGAAGGAACUAGGCAAAAUGGUGCCGUAACUUCGGGAGAAGGCACGCUGACACGUAGGUGAAGUGAUUUACUCAUGGAGCUGAAGUCAGUCGAAGAUACCAGCUGGCUGCAACUGUUUAUUAAAAACACAGCACUGUGCAAACACGAAAGUGGACGUAUACGGUGUGACGCCUGCCCGGUGCCGGAAGGUUAAUUGAUGGGGUCAGCGCAAGCGAAGCUCCUGAUCGAAGCCCCGGUAAACGGCGGCCGUAACUAUAACGGUCCUAAGGUAGCGAAAUUCCUUGUCGGGUAAGUUCCGACCUGCACGAAUGGCGUAAUGAUGGCCAGGCUGUCUCCACCCGAGACUCAGUGAAAUUGAACUCGCUGUGAAGAUGCAGUGUACCCGCGGCAAGACGGAAAGACCCCGUGAACCUUUACUAUAGCUUGACACUGAACAUUGAGCCUUGAUGUGUAGGAUAGGUGGGAGGCUUUGAAGUGUGGACGCCAGUCUGCAUGGAGCCGACCUUGAAAUACCACCCUUUAAUGUUUGAUGUUCUAACGUGGACCCGUUACCCGGGUUGCGGACAGUGUCUGGUGGGUAGUUUGACUGGGGCGGUCUCCUCCUAAAGAGUAACGGAGGAGCACGAAGGUUGGCUAAUCCUGGUCGGACAUCAGGAGGUUAGUGCAAUGGCAUAAGCCAGCUUGACUGCGAGCGUGACGGCGCGAGCAGGUGCGAAAGCAGGUCAUAGUGAUCCGGUGGUUCUGAAUGGAAGGGCCAUCGCUCAACGGAUAAAAGGUACUCCGGGGAUAACAGGCUGAUACCGCCCAAGAGUUCAUAUCGACGGCGGUGUUUGGCACCUCGAUGUCGGCUCAUCACAUCCUGGGGCUGAAGUAGGUCCCAAGGGUAUGGCUGUUCGCCAUUUAAAGUGGUACGCGAGCUGGGUUUAGAACGUCGUGAGACAGUUCGGUCCCUAUCUGCCGUGGGCGCUGGAGAACUGAGGGGGGCUGCUCCUAGUACGAGAGGACCGGAGUGGACGCAUCACUGGUGUUCGGGUUGUCAUGCCAAUGGCACUGCCCGGUAGCUAAAUGCGGAAGAGAUAAGUGCUGAAAGCAUCUAAGCACGAAACUUGCCCCGA